RNA transcript from Serinus canaria (Common canary), 240 nucleotides. It is a transcript of the gene named Rab geranylgeranyltransferase subunit alpha, with no coding region annotated. The record is from RefSeq and is a predicted model, not a curated record. Lineage: Eukaryota; Metazoa; Chordata; Aves; Passeriformes; Fringillidae. The transcript is spliced from 3 exons.
UGUUGCUUUCCCCCCCCACAGGUGAACCCAGAGUGCCCAGAGCUGACAGCGACCCUGGAUGGCUCCACCCUGGCUGGGCCUUGGCGCUCGGGGGAGGGGCGGCCACGCCCCAGCCACACCUGGCUCUGUGACCUCUCUGCCCUGCCCACCGAGAGCCCCGCCCACCUGGAGGUCACCUGGGGGCCUGACUCCGCCCACCACGAGGUGACACUGUUGCCAGGUGAGGCUGAAGCUUGGUGG